UACGAAGGGGGCUAGCGUUGCUCGGAAUCACUGGGCGUAAAGCGCACGUAGGCGGCUUUUUAAGUCAGGGGUGAAAUCCUGGAGCUCAACUCCAGAACUGCCUUUGAUACUGGGAAGCUUGAGUCCGGAAGAGGUGAGUGGAACUCCGAGUGUAGAGGUGAAAUUCGUAGAUAUUCGCAAGAACACCAGUGGCGAAGGCGGCUCACUGGCCCGAUACUGACGCUGAGGCACGAAAGCGUGGGGAGCAAACAGG
Molecule: ribosomal RNA, 253 nt
Filed under: uncultured bacterium
Lineage: Bacteria
Description: partial 16S ribosomal RNA
Rfam family: Bacterial small subunit ribosomal RNA
Source: RNAcentral